AGUAAGGUGCCUGAAUUAAAGGAUUAUUUUGAUAGAAUAAAUCAUGUAAAGAAUUACCCCUACUA
Molecule: transfer RNA, 65 nt
Filed under: Aradacanthia heissi
Lineage: Eukaryota; Metazoa; Arthropoda; Insecta; Hemiptera; Aradidae
Description: tRNA-Ile
Source: RNAcentral